Molecule: ribosomal RNA, 483 nt
Filed under: uncultured bacterium
Lineage: Bacteria
Description: bacterial SSU rRNA
Rfam family: Bacterial small subunit ribosomal RNA
Source: RNAcentral
AUUGAACGCUGGCGGCAUGCCUUACACAUGCAAGUCGAACGGCAGCGCGGGAGCAAUCCUGGCGGCGAGUGGCGAACGGGUGAGUAAUACAUCGGAACGUGCCCAAUCGUGGGGGAUAACGCAGCGAAAGCUGUGCUAAUACCGCAUACGAUCUACGGAUGAAAGCAGGGGAUCGCAAGACCUUGCGCGAAUGGAGCGGCCGAUGGCAGAUUAGGUAGUUGGUGAGGUAAAGGCUCACCAAGCCUUCGAUCUGUAGCUGGUCUGAGAGGACGACCAGCCACACUGGGACUGAGACACGGCCCAGACUCCUACGGGAGGCAGCAGUGGGGAAUUUUGGACAAUGGGCGCAAGCCUGAUCCAGCCAUGCCGCGUGCAGGAUGAAGGCCUUCGGGUUGUAAACUGCUUUUGUACGGAACGAAACGGCUCUUUCUAAUAAAGAGGGCUAAUGACGGUACCGUAAGAAUAAGCACCGGCUAACUACGU